GGGGUAUUAGCUCAUUUGGUAGAGCGUUAGGUUCGCAAUCUAAAGGUGACCGGUUCGAGCCCGGUAUACUCCA
Molecule: transfer RNA, 73 nt
Filed under: Bacteroidales bacterium
Lineage: Bacteria; Pseudomonadati; Bacteroidota; Bacteroidia; Bacteroidales
Also listed under: 2 other names
Description: tRNA-Ala
Rfam family: tRNA
About the family: Transfer RNA (tRNA) molecules are approximately 80 nucleotides in length. Their secondary structure includes four short double-helical elements and three loops (D, anti-codon, and T loops). Further hydrogen bonds mediate the characteristic L-shaped molecular structure. tRNAs have two regions of fundamental functional importance: the anti-codon, which is responsible for specific mRNA codon recognition, and the 3' end, to which the tRNAs corresponding amino acid is attached (by aminoacyl-tRNA synthetases). tRNAs cope with the degeneracy of the genetic code in two manners: having more than one tRNA (with a specific anti-codon) for a particular amino acid; and 'wobble' base-pairing, i.e. permitting non-standard base-pairing at the 3rd anti-codon position.
Source: RNAcentral